CGUAGGCAGCAAGCGUUGUUCGGAGUUACUGGGCGUAAAGAGUGCGUAGGUGGUGCCCUAAGUCUGUUGUGAAAUCUCCCGGCUUAACUGGGAGGGUGCGGUGGAAACUGGGGUGCUUGAGUGUGGGAGAGGUAAGCGGAAUUCCUGGUGUAGCGGUGAAAUGCGUAGAUAUCAGGAGGAACACCGGUGGUGUAGACGGCUUACUGGACCACGACUGACACUGAGGCACGAAAGCGUGGGUAGCAAACAGGAUUAGAUACCCUGGUAGUCCACGCCCUAAACGAUGCAUACUUGGUGUGAGCCAUUCAUUUGGUUCGUGCCGGAGCUAACGCGUUAAGUAUGCCGCCUGGGGAGUACGGUCGCAAGGCUG
Molecule: ribosomal RNA, 370 nt
Filed under: uncultured organism
Description: bacterial SSU rRNA
Rfam family: Bacterial small subunit ribosomal RNA
Source: RNAcentral